RNAcentral lists this ribosomal RNA (484 nucleotides) under uncultured bacterium. RNAcentral describes it as "partial 16S ribosomal RNA". It matches the Rfam family "Bacterial small subunit ribosomal RNA", at positions 30 to 507 of the family's 1533-position model. The record is from RNAcentral.
AUUGAACGCUGGCGGCAGGCCUAACACAUGCAAGUCGAGCGGAUGAAGGGAGCUUGCUCCUGGAUUCAGCGGCGGACGGGUGAGUAAUGCCUAGGAAUCUGCCUGGUAGUGGGGGGUAACGUCCGGAAACGGGCGCUAAUACCGCAUACGUCCUGAGGGAGAAAGUGGGGGAUCUUCGGACCUCACGCUAUCAGAUGAGCCUAGGUCGGAUUAGCUAGUCGGUGGGGUAAAGGCCUACCAAGGCGACGAUCCGUAACUGGUCUGAGAGGAUGAUCAGUCACACUGGAACUGAGACACGGUCCAGACUCCUACGGGAGGCAGCAGUGGGGAAUAUUGGACAAUGGGCGAAAGCCUGAUCCAGCCAUGCCGCGUGUGUGAAGAAGGUCUUCGGAUUGUAAAGCACUUUAAGUUGGGAGGAAGGGCAGUAAGUUAAUACCUUGCUGUUUUGACGUUACCAACAGAAUAAGCACCGGCUAACUUCGUG